CCAAUAGCGUAUAUUAAAGUUGUUGCAGUUAAAAAGCUCGUAGUUGAAUUUCGGAAGCAGUACGCCGGUCGUGCCUCCGGUAUGCACUGGUGUCACUGGUUCCUCCCUUCUGAAGAUCCAUCAUGCCAUUUACUUGGUGUGGUGAGGAAUCAGGACUGUUACUUUGAAAAAAUUAGAGUGUUUAAAGCAGGCUCACGCUUGAAUACAUUAGCAUGGAAUAAUGAAAUAGGACGUUGAUCUUAUUUUGUUGGUUUCUAGGAUUGACGUAAUGAUUAAUAGGGAUAGUUGGGGGCAUUAGUAUUCAAUUGUCAGAGGUGAAAUUCUUGGAUUUAUUGAAGACUAACUACUGCGAAAGCAUUUGCCAAGGAUGUUUUCAUUAAUCAAGAACGAAAGUUAGGGGAUCGAAGACGAUCAGAUACCGUCGUAGUCUUAACCAUAAACUAUGCCGACUAGGGAUCGGAUGAUGUUAUUUUUUUAUGACUCAUUCGGCGCCUUACG
This 498-nucleotide ribosomal RNA is filed under the name uncultured Glomeromycotina. RNAcentral describes it as "partial small subunit ribosomal RNA". It matches the Rfam family "Eukaryotic small subunit ribosomal RNA", at positions 591 to 1092 of the family's 1831-position model. The record is from RNAcentral. Lineage: Eukaryota; Fungi; Glomeromycota.